Long non-coding RNA from Dreissena polymorpha, 3913 nucleotides. RefSeq lists it as uncharacterized. The transcript is spliced from 4 exons. NCBI's taxonomy places the organism in Eukaryota, Metazoa, Mollusca, Bivalvia, Myida, Dreissenidae. The record is from RefSeq and is a predicted model, not a curated record.
AAUCAGAACGCUACUAUACACUGAACGGAUUAGACUUACGAUAAUUGAAAGAAAACGAGACGCGUGUCGUGUCUGAGGUUUAUACGAGGUCUUUCGGCAGUUAUACGAAGAUACCGGCGUAAUCAUCAUCGAGGAAAAAUGGCCGAAGGUGGCUACUGGUGUGAAGAAUCGGAACCGGAGUGUGAUUCCCGAGGAAGCAUACUUUCGUGUCCCCACUCUCAUGUUCAGUGUGAAAAUGCCUCCGUAGAGAUCUGCGUUUUGAUGAACUGGCUUUGAUAUGGGCCGGAGAUCAGAAAGGCACGAAGAGACGCCUACAUGGAGGCGGAAAGGCUUAUGACUCCAUGGUCGAAAGGAUUUAAAACUGCAAUAUGUACGGGUAGCAAGGCCGAGGGUCUGACCCGCUUUGCUUAGAAUGAUCUUGAUCAAAUGUAUGUAAUAAAAGGUAUUUGGUGCGUAGAAGACGGUGUUAAUUCUUUUAUAUUGCCAAGGGAUAUGACUGUGUUUAGACUAAGCACUAAAAUGUUGUACCCAGGACACUGUAGACUGCUACUAGAGCAAAUUGGGAUAAUGGCCUUUGUCAUUUACAAUGCCCUUUGUCGUGAUGAAAAUGGUCGUCCUCUCCUGUGCAGUGACAUUUUUGUUAAUAUAUUGAACACGGGUAACAGAGAACUUAAGCCAGACGAGAUAAAAUUAGACCGUGCAGGGCCUUCAAUACCGGCUUCUUUCGGAGGGAUAUUGAAGAUAGACACAGUACAUUCUCUACCCUGCUACUGCCCUAGCAUACUGAAAAGAUGGUCUGAACGACGUCGGCACUGGCCCUCACCCGAUAUCGUUCGAAAAGUGGUAUCAUUAGGAGCAUAUGUGACUCCCGUCGGAUUUAAAGGAAGUGACUACAGACAUGUAGAGUGGAGGAUAUGAUUCAAUACAGGAGAGAAUGAGCUUGUGAGCAGUCUUAAUAACACACAGGUUUACAUUUAUGUUAUAUUAAAUAUGGUGGUCAAGGAUGUACUAAUGCCUGUAAAGAAAGAAAUUACAUCAUAUACAGUAAAAAACAUUAUAUUGUGGCUUGCGGAGAACAAUUCACAAAUAUUAUUCCAUGAAAAGAGUUUAUUUUAUUGGUUGCAUGAAGGACUGGGCGCACUAAGAACUGCUAUUGUAACGGAACGUCUGCCAUAUUACAUGAUACCAGAACGAAAUCUGAUGGCAGGAUGUGGACUAAAUGGUGAAUAGAAGCUAACCUGGGUAGCAACCAUCAAUGAGAUGAUGAACGAAGGGCCAAAAUUAAUUCGCCAAUUGCCGAAGAUACGGCAAGCAGUAAUCUCGCAUCCAGAGCCCAUGAUGUGGUACAGCGAGAAAAGAUUGGAGCUUGAAAUUCUGGAUCUGAUGUACAUGACCAAAGGAGCGAAAUGCUCAGAUAUGAAUGGCGAGGUAAAUAAGUCGGAUACUAUGCUUACGGCGAUAGAAGGACGUAUGAAUGAGAUAUUGAGAGAGAUCCGUCAAAGGAUGAAUUGGGAAGGAAGUCGUUUGAAUGAUCUGCAGGUGAUAUAUCACAUGAUGCUCAUGUAAUGUUGAUGUAAAUGACAAUCAGCACAUGCAUAUUUUUUUUAAAUUUACUACAAAAAUAAUUUAAUUUAUUGUGUUAACAAAUUCAUUGACUUGUAUGGUUGGUUCUAUAUGAGAUGUUUGAUAGUUAUAUAUGAAUGGGUAGUAAAAAUAUAUCUGCAUUAUGUGCAUUAAUAAGUGAUAGGUGUAUGUAAUAAGUUACUAAUGCUUAUUUUUCUCAUUUAGAAAUCAGUUAUAUAUGCAAGCGUAUACAUCCUAAAUUCGUGAAAGAAAUCGCAGCAUUUUCCCAGAUUUAAUGUCCGAACAAAAAACCGACUAACUAGUCUGGUAACUGGCCAUACGGUGGAAAAAAUAAGUUUGUCAUACAUUGUUAUUUAUUUUUAUUUUAGUUAAUAUAACGUUUUUAUUCAAAUGUCUACCACUACACACGGUCAUAUAAGUGUUUUAUGUGUUUGUGACAUUACUUUCAUGAGGAAUACAAUAUUUGUGUGCUAUUUUCAAACAUAUUUGCUUAUUAAUAAGUCAAUUAUGAUACAUUUCUAUCGACCAGUGUGUUUAAAUGAAGCUGUACUUUUAUUAAGAAAAAGAUAGUAUGCAUUGCUAUCUGACAUAUAGCUGAUACGAGUUCAUGCUUAUGUGUUUUUAACCAGUAAAUAAUAGUGCUGGUGUGUAUCGUGGAAUAAUCAAGUUUCUUAUAUGAACUUAAAAGGCGCCUGGUAAUAUAUGAAAUGUAUAUUGCAAUAACGUACUUAUUAAAAUUAUCAAAUAAUUUAGGAGCUUGAGAACUGUUAAGCAAUUGUAAAAAAACAACACUUACAUUGUCCAUCAAAUAUAUUUAAUUGUAUGAUGCAUGUUCCCUUUGUGUUUCAUUCACUCUUAUUGUUCUGAUUAAUAUUUGUUUACUUGUGUUUUCAGUUUCACUGCGUUUGCUAUUCGCUAUAUUGCCUGCAUGAAGUUUUGCUAGACGGACAAAACAUUUAGAUAUACAUGUUUAUAUAGCUAUGCCCAGGUUCUAAAAUGUGUGUUAAUUGAUGAUGUGUAUAUCGUAAUACGUUUAAAUUACACACACAUCAUAAAGAUUUUUUAAGCUGCUGUUAGUGCCGUUAUUUCGAUGGGUUAAACACACUUUUAGAAUUAUUAUCCAUGAUAAACUGCGUCUACGAUCCAGCCUUUAGACAAAAAAUGCACAUAUCAUGGUAUCGAUGAUUAAAUAUAUGAUGGUUAUAUGAUUGAUAUUGUAGACGUAAAGACACGAGUAACAACGAGGAAAAACUAAACACAUGGCAUGUAAUUUCCUCACAAGUUACUAAUUAACACAACUGAAACAUACCACCACUGCCACAAAAAUUUCAGUAAAAAACGUUGGUCGCAAAAUCUAAUAACCAUUACUAUGACUGCGCCAUUACACUCCUGAAAGGAAAUUAUUAGAAUCUUGUUAUAAGCAACAUAAAACGCCAUCAAUGCCAUGAUCAUUAUUCUCGAUGUUUAGAUGAGGCGAAUGUUAAUUGUACUUUAUCCACGCAAAACCCGUCAUGGCUCAUCCAUCCAUCCACUUCCUCCCACUAUUUGUGUAAUUUGUAAUACUGAUUCUACUUUGACUCUAAGUUAUGACUUUUAGCUGCUUAUAAGCCCAGCAAUCUCUGUGUGAUAUCGUAGAGGGUUUUGAGUGUUUAUGACGUCGCCGUGUCGUAGUGGAUAUGGUGUCAGUCUAGCGACCGGGAAGUCACGAGUUCGAUCCCCACUGUGGGAGCGUUCAUUCGAUCUUCCCCAAAGACACCAAGUACUGGUUCUUGGUCCCAGGAAACGGACUCAAGAGUGUUUCAAUAAGCCCUAGGCUUUCGAUGCAAUCGAGCUAGAAUAAAUAGUUUUAAAUUUAACAAGAGGGCUUUGUGUGGUUGAAAUUAUGGCUAACCUUCAACGCACAGGUACGACCGGCGUGAUCAACAAUAUGUAAUCAUAGGGAAUUAGCUACUCAAAAAGUCAUUGUGCCCGACGACAUAAAAAAUUGCGAUUGUACAUUUUCAAGAGAUGUUGUUAACAAAGAUGUAUCAAAAUCAGGUGAUUUAAGUAAACAUUGCAUAAUCGAAAUGCAACUAACACGGGAACUAUAAAGCCUUGUUUGUAAUUUUUUUGAAUACGAUAUUAUAUAAAGCACAUAAUUGACUUGUUUAAAUAAGAGGGUCAAACGCCCUUGUAUUCUGAACUGUGACCAAAACAAAAUGUUUUAAUAUGACAUGCUUGUGUUUUUCAUAUAUGUAAAAAUGUUGUGCCGUUUUUAUGCAGUGUAAGAUUGUACGUUUGGAUACGAAUAUGUUUACAAGUGUUAAUAUAAAAUAUUCCUACUUGUUUU